CUGGCCAGUGGAGUACCCCUUUAAAUUGAAGCUUGCAUGACUAUCAAUCAGUAAAUGUGUCCCCGUCUACCAUCCUAAUUCCAGGACCUGAUAGGAUUUCGGCUGGGCCUGGUCCAGUCAGAGAAACUAAAGAGGCUACAAUUGUCUACACCCCGGAGUUGGGAGCUUACCACUUCUAUCUUUUAUUUCCAUCCUUUCUAUCCCUUAGUUAAACUUGAUGGUAUUUGUGUCAACCAUUUUAGGAUUUUUUUUUUCUUUUUUUAUUCUUUGAUGAAACUUUCUGACAAAAAUUGGCCCAGUGACAUAUUGUUGGGUGAUAUAAAGUUUCAAUGGUAGUAAUGGAUGUUGCUCUAUUAUUGGUUUAUUUAUAGGACGUGAUUUUCUUGUGAUUUUCUCAUGUUAAAAAAAAAUUCAUAUCGGAAAUGUUUUUUCCCAGAACAUGGAAUAUUUCAUGUUCCUGUUUCCUAUCGUAAUCGAUGCGACCAGAUGUCACUACCUCGAAGUGCUAUAUACAUUCCUAGAAUAAGGCAACCCAAGCUGUAAGGAAACUACUCCAAGAAGCUGAUAUAGAGCUCGACCAGGACGUCUUAACCAAAGCCAUGGCUUAAUAAUCAACACUGUGGAAUUCCGCCCAGAGUGCAUUGCUGGGGGCAAAAGGGACGGCAAUGGGGACGGCACUAGUCCGCACAGUCAUACAGUAGCACCAGCUGCACACGGAAUCUCCGCCCAGGAUUUAUACGGUGGAGAUUUCGUCAUGUGCAUUGGCCAUUACAGCCCAUCCCUAAAUCUUAU
This is a long non-coding RNA of Hyla sarda, 792 nucleotides long. RefSeq lists it as uncharacterized. The record is from RefSeq and is a predicted model, not a curated record. NCBI's taxonomy places the organism in Eukaryota, Metazoa, Chordata, Amphibia, Anura, Hylidae. The transcript is spliced from 3 exons.